ACUCAAAGGAAUUGACGGGGGCCCGCACAAGCGGUGGAGCAUGUGGUUUAAUUCGAAGCAACGCGAAGAACCUUACCAAGGCUUGACAUCUUUCUGUAAGCACUAGAGAUAGUGCCCCUCUUCGGAGCAGAGAUGACAGGUGGUGCAUGGUUGUCGUCAGCUCGUGUCGUGAGAUGUUGGGUUAAGUCCCGCAACGAGCGCAACCCUUAUUUUUAGUAGCCAGCAUGUAAUGAUGGGCACUCUAGAAAGACUGCCGUGGAUAACACGGAGGAAGGUGGGGAUGAGGUCAAAUCAUCAUGCCCUUUAUGCCUUGGGCAACACACGUGCUACAAUGGCUGUAACAAAGUGAUGCAAAGCGGUGACGCCUAGCAAAGCACAAAAAAGCAGUCUCAGUUCGGAUUGGAGUCUGCAACUCGACUCUAUGAAGUUGGAAUCGCUAGUAAUCGCGAAUCAGCAUGUCGCGGUGAAUACGUUCCCGGGCCUUGUACACACCGCCCGU
Molecule: ribosomal RNA, 499 nt
Filed under: uncultured bacterium
Lineage: Bacteria
Description: bacterial SSU rRNA
Rfam family: Bacterial small subunit ribosomal RNA
Source: RNAcentral